RNAcentral lists this ribosomal RNA (252 nucleotides) under uncultured bacterium. Its description in RNAcentral is "partial 16S ribosomal RNA". It matches the Rfam family "Bacterial small subunit ribosomal RNA", at positions 524 to 776 of the family's 1533-position model. The record is from RNAcentral.
UACGUAGGGCGCAAGCGUUGUCCGGAAUUAUUGGGCGUAAAGAGCUCGUAGGCGGCCACUCAAGUCGAAUGUGAAACCUCGAGGCUUAACCUCGAGCCUGCAUUCGAUACUGGGCGGCUAGAGUCUGGUAGGGGGAUCUGGAAUUCCUGGUGUAGCGGUGGAAUGCGUAGAUAUCGCAAGAACACCAGUGGCGAAGGCGGCUCACUGGCCCGGUACUGACGCUGAGGUGCGAAAGCGUGGGGAGCAAACAGG